RNAcentral lists this ribosomal RNA (497 nucleotides) under uncultured bacterium. RNAcentral's name for it is "partial 16S ribosomal RNA". It matches the Rfam family "Bacterial small subunit ribosomal RNA", at positions 30 to 523 of the family's 1533-position model. The record is from RNAcentral.
UUGAACGCUGGCGGCAGGCCUAACACAUGCAAGUCGAGCGGCAGCGCGGGGCAACCUGGCGGCGAGCGGCGGACGGGUGAGUAACGCGUAGGAAUCUACCCAGUAGCGGGGGAUAGCCCGGGGAAACUCGGAUUAAUACCGCAUACGCCCUAAGGGGGAAAGCAAGGGAUCGUAAGACCUUGCACUAUUGGAAGAGCCUGCGUUGGAUUAGCUAGUUGGUAGGGUAAAGGCCUACCAAGGCGACGAUCCAUAACUGGUCUGAGAGGAUGAUCAGGCACACCGGAACUGAGACACGGUCCGGACUCCUACGGGAGGCAGCAGUGGGGAAUAUUGGACAAUGGGGGCAACCCUGAUCCAGCCAUGCCGCGUGUGUGAAGAAGGCCUUCGGGUUGUAAAGCACUUUAGUUGGGGAAGAAAAGUAAUAAGUAAAUAAUUUAUUGCUCUGACGGUACCCAAAGAAUAAGCACCGGCUAACUCUGUGCCAGCCGCCGCCGUAA